AGUCAGUAUCUAGGGAAAGCAUCCGCCUAUGGAGGGCACAGGCGUUGUAGGGACAGGUGGGAAGGGAGCUAUGGAAGGCUGAUCACUAGGCGCACAGGAGAGAGUUGAUGGAGAGUCACAGGAUGGUUGGCCUGGGCUGUAGGGGCUCUCAGCACACAGGCUUUGAGUCUAAGAGCUCUAGUUAAGAGCCAGUGAAGUGGCUCUGAAUAUCAAAUCAUUUGCUGCACAAUUUGAUGACAGAAGCUGGAUCCCUGGAACUCAGCAGGAGAAAAUGACUCCAAAAAGCUGUCAUCUGACCUCCCUUUGGGGGCUAGCAACCUUCAUCCACUCCCUCCCUGAGUCUGAAUUCCUCAUCAGUCUCAACCUGGUGCUUAAGGAGUGGCUGAUUUCUAGAGUCACUUUAGUCCAUGUUGAAGACAGAAAAGACUGGUCUCCAAUGGCAGCAAAUGAUGGCAGCAGCCACAGGGCCAGAACAGCAACAGUUAGAUAAACUCACCCACUGGAGACAAAGCUUCCUGUUAUGAUUUAUGAAGAAUUGCUGAUGAGUAGAUAUGCAUUUUGAGGAUUAAAGAUCUUGGCAGAGAUUACAAGUAAAGAAUGAAGCCAAGUACAUGAAGAUUGUUACUCGGCCAAGAGCCUUCAUCUGGUUAUUGUCGUCAAAUAAAUCAAUAUAUGUUUAA
This 680-nucleotide long non-coding RNA is filed under the name Mus pahari (shrew mouse). Its description in RNAcentral is "lncRNA (MGP_PahariEiJ_G0003775.1)". The record is from RNAcentral. Lineage: Eukaryota; Metazoa; Chordata; Mammalia; Rodentia; Muridae.